This 381-nucleotide ribosomal RNA is filed under the name uncultured eukaryote. Its description in RNAcentral is "partial 18S ribosomal RNA". It matches the Rfam family "Eukaryotic small subunit ribosomal RNA", at positions 592 to 976 of the family's 1831-position model. The record is from RNAcentral.
CAAUAGCGUAUAUUAAAGCUGUUGCGGUUAAAAAGCUCGUAGUUGGAUUUCUGUCAAGGACAACUGGUCCGCCCUUCGGGUGAGCACAUAGUUUGGUCUUGGCAUCUUGUUGGAAACUGUUGCUGUACUUGGUUGUGUGGCGCAGCGUCCAGCACUUUCACUUUGAGGAAAUUGGAGUGUUUCAAGCAGGCACAUGCCUUUGGACACAGUAGCAUGGAAUAAUUAGAUUGGGCUUUUGCUCCAACUUGUCGGUUUCUGGAGCUGAGGUGAGAAUUAAUGGGGAUUGUUGGGGGCAUCCGAAUUUAGCCGUCAGAGGUGAAAUUCUUGGAUCUGCUAAAGACGGACAACUGCGAAAGCGUUUGCCCAGGAUGUUUUCAUUGA